Molecule: long non-coding RNA, 431 nt
Filed under: Lathyrus oleraceus (garden pea)
Lineage: Eukaryota; Viridiplantae; Streptophyta; Magnoliopsida; Fabales; Fabaceae
Description: Pisum sativum (pea) long non-coding RNA (PSAT_LNC021411)
Source: RNAcentral
AACUAGUAUAAUUUUAUUCAAUUUAAUUUGUUUCCAAUUUAUUUUACACCUUAAAAGUAUCAAAAGGGAAACUUUAGAAUUUUUUUAAAAAAAUAAAACCCUAAAUUAUGCUAUAAGUACCAACACUUGACAUUAAAAGAGGGACGAAAAAAAUAUCAAUCACAAUCGCUAUACAUCAAACUUUCAAACAAUUUCACUUCAAAAAGCUUGAGAAAAAAAAAAGUUAAAAAUUGAAAAAUACACCGGAAGAAGAAUACUGGUUUUUCUUCAUGAGAGUCAUUUCAUUCUUGUCUAUCCCUUCCUUGUCUCUUGCUUGAUGACAUCUUCAUCUCUCACAUAUCUCUCCAACCUCACUCACACAAAAAUAUAAACUAAAAAAAACUGAAGAAAAUUCUUCUUCUUCGUGACCUUCACCAGACAUAACCACAUAU